RNAcentral lists this transfer RNA (68 nucleotides) under Neocucumis proteus. Its description in RNAcentral is "tRNA-Ile". It matches the Rfam family "tRNA". Rfam says of the family: Transfer RNA (tRNA) molecules are approximately 80 nucleotides in length. Lineage: Eukaryota; Metazoa; Echinodermata; Holothuroidea; Dendrochirotida; Cucumariidae. The record is from RNAcentral.
GGGUUUAAUCCAAGCAGGAAUAUCUAACCGAUAAUUAGAUAAAAGAGGUUAAAAUCCUCUUAAACCCU